GAAUUCAGGCAGUGUUUAGAGAGUGAGAGUUUGAUUAGGGGGGGGACACUGGGAGGGGGUAAUUACCCUAAACCUGAGCUACCCCGCUUGCGCGUCUGGCCGCGAAGGCAUCUUCAAGAAUCCGGAUAAUUUAAUGCGGUUUUGCUGUGGGACGCACCUCUGGCGGGCAGGGAAAGCAGCGGGGCUUGGCUUGGCUUUUUGGGGGGGAAGAGAAAAAGGAGGAGAGGGACGAGGAGAGCUGAUGUGAGAAGUUGUGGGGUGCACGGAGCAGGGCUGAGAGCUCCGAGGCGGCCGCACGAAGUUUGCUGGGUGCCGGUGGGUGAGGAAGGGUUCCUCCUCCCCUCCGCCCGGGCUCCUCCGCAAACUGGCAACCUGGAAUCGUGUUUUAUGGCCACUCGCUAGCGUUUUGUUUGCUUUCCGGACUGGCUCUGUGUGGGAUAUCAGCGAGUUAUGCCCUAACUGUGAGCUUAGAGUAGCGUGCUGGCCGCGGUGGGUUCUUGAUUUAUAUCGGGUUGGAGCAGAGAGGAGGGCAAAGUUUUGCUCGCCGACCGCUGAGGAAUGAAUUACAAGUCUGAGAGGACGGUAUCCCGCAGGACCCGGAGGGGUCUGGCAUUCACCAUGGACUUGCAGCUUGCGCUCCUGUUUGCGGGGAUAAUUGCGUUUUCGGACUCGGCCAGAGGUAAGGGAACCGUGGGGACCCCCGUCGGUGUCGCUGCCACCGGGGCUCGUCCUCUGCCCACGUGCAGGUCUCCAUACCUGCGGGGUUCGGGGCUGUGGAUGGAGCACGGGGUUUGUAGGAGGUCUCGCAAGCACAGGUGGACUCGCAGGGGCUUUUCUCGUGCGCCUAUAAGAAGUACAUGGACGAUUUUAAAGAAAAGCAACCGCAUUCCUCCGUGGAUCAGAAAUACCUCUCACCUCCUGUAAUCCCGCCAGCCUCUGCCCUGUAUAUUCCCACUAGCAAACUAAACAAACACGUCCAUUAACCUCCUCGGUGACAGACAAAUGACAGUUCCCAACAGCGAGAGCAUAUUUUAACGCUGGGGCUCCAGCAGUCGAUCAGGUUUCAAUAAACAGGUUACCCCACCAGCGGCA
Molecule: long non-coding RNA, 1092 nt
Filed under: Anas platyrhynchos platyrhynchos (common mallard)
Lineage: Eukaryota; Metazoa; Chordata; Aves; Anseriformes; Anatidae
Description: lncRNA (ENSAPLG00000018113.1)
Source: RNAcentral